This 520-nucleotide ribosomal RNA is filed under the name uncultured Glomus. RNAcentral describes it as "SSU rRNA". It matches the Rfam family "Eukaryotic small subunit ribosomal RNA", at positions 569 to 1091 of the family's 1831-position model. Lineage: Eukaryota; Fungi; Glomeromycota; Glomeromycetes; Glomerales; Glomeraceae. The record is from RNAcentral.
AGCAGCCGCGGUAAUUCCAGCUCCAAUAGCGUAUAUUAAAGUUGUUGCAGUUAAAAAGCUCGUAGUUGAAUUUCGGAAUCAAUAUAUCGGUCGUGCCAUUGGUACGUACUGGUAUCAUUGGUUUCUCCUUUCUGACGAACCAUGAUGUCAUUAAUUUGGUGUUAUGGGAAGUUAGGACUGUUACUUUGAAAAAAUUAGAGUGUUUAAAGCAGGCUUUAGCUUGAAUACAUUAGCAUGGAAUAAUGAAAUAGGACGUUCGAACCUAUUUUGUUGGUUUCUAGGAUCAACGUAAUGAUUAAUAGGGAUAGUUGGGGGCAUUAGUAUUCAAUUGUCAGAGGUGAAAUUCUUGGAUUUAUUGAAGACUAACUACUGCGAAAGCAUUUGCCAAGGAUGUUUUCAUUAAUCAAGAACGAAAGUUAGGGGAUCGAAGACGAUCAGAUACCGUCGUAGUCUUAACCAUAAACUAUGCCGACUAGGGAUCGGAUGAUGUUAAUUUUUAAUGACUCAUUCGGCGCCUUAC